CUUUGUCUAGAGAACAGCUCCUGGUUGAAAGAUAGAUAUUUAUAGAUAAACCAAUCAUCUGAAAAUCAUAAAAUUUCUCUACGAAAUAUGGUGAUAGUGAGGUAAUCUUCUUCCCACUGUAGAGUUUGGAAUAUGAGACACAGAGAGCCCUUCACCAGAAAAUACAAAUAAAGGAGAAAGAAAGAGAGAGAGAAAGAAGAAAGGAAAGCAAAGGAAAGGAAAGAGGAAAGGAAAGAAAAAGGAAAAAGAGAAAAGAAAGGAAAACAAAGAAAAACAAUGGAGACAGUGUCAGCUGUACAGCAAGAGCCAAGUGGUCUCUGCGGAGAGAGAAACUGAUCAAAGACCUGCAUGAGGGGCUGGGGAUCUAGCUCAGCGGUUCAGCACAUCGCUGCCACACAAGCGCAAGAAGAUCUGCGUGAGGAGCGUGAGUGAGUCGCGCACAUAUUUCAGCUUGUUCUGGGAAGAAAGAAAUUCAAUUUGAAAGACUCCAGGUAAGCGUUACUUGAUUUUAUUUAAAUACAAAAGACAGAAGAAGCCUCUUUAUCACAUUGAAAAAGAGGCAGCCAUUAGCCA
RNAcentral lists this long non-coding RNA (573 nucleotides) under Fukomys damarensis (Damara mole-rat). Its description in RNAcentral is "lncRNA (ENSFDAG00000027770.1)". Lineage: Eukaryota; Metazoa; Chordata; Mammalia; Rodentia; Bathyergidae. The record is from RNAcentral.